Long non-coding RNA from Felis catus (domestic cat), 3297 nucleotides. RefSeq lists it as uncharacterized. NCBI's taxonomy places the organism in Eukaryota, Metazoa, Chordata, Mammalia, Carnivora, Felidae. The transcript is spliced from 2 exons. The record is from RefSeq and is a predicted model, not a curated record.
ACCUGCAAUGCUCAUUAGGGUCUCAAGUGCAAAAAAGGCUCAGAAGGUCUGGGCAGGGGUCAAGGAGGUUCCAAUCCAAACUCUAGAGAGAGAGGGAAGACACUGAGAAUACAAGCCUCUGUGGCAGGUGGCAGAUCAGCCUGGGAAAAUACAAAGGGGCCGGUUACCCCCCACCCAGCACUGACAGGGGCGCACGAGGUGGCUUUGGGGGAAGCCCCCCGCCCCCCCCCCACCCCCCGCAGAGUUUAGGCUUGGCUGGGGGAGGGGCUAGUGGGACUUGUCCCAAGGAACACUCCAGCAGACAAUGAGAACGUGGGUGGUGUGGAGCUGCCGGCUGGGGGCAGGUGCCCAAGGAGACAGCACAGAGCAGGUGCAAAGGGCUGGGUCUCUGGGGGCAGAGGAGCCAGGGCUCUGCCAGCUAGGGCCCAUGGAGCAGGGCAGGUGACACGGAGUUGCAGGUGAGCGAGGAGAGGGACUGUGAUGGAUCGCUAGCUUGCAGCCACUUCGAGCAGCCGUAGGAACCCAGGUCCCCGGGGCUCGGCCAGGCCCCUCCACUCCCUCCCCUUGGGAACAGUCUGCCUCUUCUGCAUGUGUCCGGCUGGGCAAAGGGGCAGCCGAAAAGUUUGGUUUUUGAGAGGAAAACCCGCAGCCCCCAAGCAUAUAAAUGCACGCAAUGGAGGCUUCUUGAUUGAAACAAAGACCGACUCCAUGGAAUGGAGAACUUGGGGAGCUUCCCCCUUGUUCCUAGAGGUUUCCCAAUCAAGGCAGAUCAAAGCCACCGCAGAUGUGCUCCCGUGGGCUCCAUGAAGGCCGUGCCCAGGACGCCUAGCUCGGAAGCCCAAGAAAACAAAGAUGCGCAUCUGUCUGUGUCCCUAGACCACUCCAAUCAGCUAAACGAAGGCCAACCACGGACGCUGGCAUCUAGGGCUCCGACUGUCCCGGCUCCCGGGCGGGCGGCAGAGGCACGGGACAGGUCAAGCCACCAGUCGGCAAGGCAGUUACUUCCAGGCGAGAGGUGAAGGUGACCUUGCCCUUGAUGAAGGCUCCAGGAAGCCCCGGGAACCGCAGCUUCUCGGCCAGAUCCACGGGGGAGGACUGUCACUGGGAGGGUGGGAAGACGAUGGAGGGGCUGGACUGUCCCUUCAGCGUGUCGGCGAUCCGGGACCCCCGGUGGUCCCGACUCAGGUGCACAGGACCUCACGGUAACCUUGUCAGAGCUGCUCAGAACGGACCCAGAGCUUGGUGGUCCCCUUCUUUGGGACCCUCGGGUGUUGUGUCCCUCCUGGCUAAGCUUGCUCCACAGAUGGUCAAUAAAGGAGGUGACAGAGGCCAGCAAUGGCUCAUCUGGACGCGAGUCCUCGCAGGGGUGAGGAGGCCGUGUGGUGCAGUGGUUAAAGCUCAGUCAGAGACCAAACGGCUGCCAGAAUCCUGGCCCACAACAUCCUGGCCGUAUGACCCGGGAUAAGCAAUUCAAAUGCCUGGACCUCAGAUUUGCCCGUCUGACUGUUCACGAGCAGCGGUUGGUAUUCACUCUGUUGUCAGCUGCUUGGGCGUCCGGGAACCCCCUCCAAGUGGGACCGGGGCUCCCUAACACCGAACGGCGUUCAGCAGCCCUGUGGGCCAAGCGACUCACGGAUCCUGCUGGUGACAUCUAAACUAAUCACUCCAGGGCAGACAUCAGAGCUGGAGAGCUGAGGCAGCCAUAGGCCAGAAAUGGCAGAAGGUUCCUUGUUGAUAAAGACCAGGCAUGGACUCUCGCGGGGGCGCGCUGGGUACUUUUCCAAAGGGGGAGGGCUCACCUCGCUCGCCGCUGUGGCCUGCAGGGGACAGGAGCACAAAGAUGCCUUCUGCCCAGGGUAUUGCUUACUUGGCAGGGGACCCACAGCAGCGUGGAGCGCAUGUGCCCAAAGCAGCAAAGGCAGUAGUGUUUGACAAGUCGGACCAGUGCUAUUUCCAAAUUAAAUCACCCAGGCUGGCUGCUGGUAUGCCCUCGUCGCAGAUGGAGGGUGGCCAGCUCUGACGCUUGGCACGCGGAGCCCCAGGAAAUGCUGCCAGACGACAACAAUGGGACCCAAGGUGACAGGCCACGUACUUCUCAUAGGACCGAUGGCACUUGCCAUAUUCUAUUCCCCAAAAGGGGAGACUAGGAUUCCGGAACACCCACCAGGCGCCAUUCGUAGGCAUUGCACUCCUGCCCAACGAGGAAGGAAACAGAGACCAGGCAGAGGUCCUUCGCCCAAACGUACAGAGCUGAGACGUGGGGGGGGCAGCAUUGGAACUCAGAUCUGGGUGUGCCAAUGUUCCCUCUCUUCCCUGCAAAGGUCUCCCUCUCUUCCUUUCUUCUUUGUUCAUAGCGGUCAUCCUGGGCUCUAGUCGGUGAGCCAUGCACGUGUACCUGGUAUCCUUAGUGCUGUUUUCUGUAACCGAGGACACUGAAGCUUGGGGACUUCAGUUAACUCAAUAUACGCUUACUGAGCACCGAUACGUGCUGGACCCCCUGCGCUGCCGCGAGCGCUGGAUGGGUUCCCCGUGUGUGCCCGCUACGGUGCCUGGUGUGGGCGAGGAUGUGCGUGGUCAUUCACGGACCUUGCCCCCAGGCUACACGCUCAUUAAGGGAGUGUUUGUCUUCAGAUGCAGAAUGAGCCAGAGCAUUUCCUUGACUUGGCUGUUUCCCUAACGACUAACACUAACACGUCGUGAGUUUACCGUUUUAUGUAAACUUGACGUCUUCUCAUGGGUUAUCUGCUCACAUCCUCACAAGGCCUCCGGGAGGUACACGGGCUGGGUGUUGGCACCUGUUAUAGAUGAGGAAAUGAGGAGGGAACAGAAUGAGUGGGGCGGCAGAGGGCAGGCCUCAAACCUGGGGCUGGUCCUGCUCCUGCUCCCGGGCCAGUGUUCCCAAUGAUGACUGUCCUCACUUCCUCUGCCUCCCCUGCAUGGGCUCCAUAUUUUGCAAUACGUUGCCAACAAGACCGGAUGCAUUAAGUAAGUGUGAAUGUGUUUCCCCAUUUUUCUUAAUCAAAGACAUAUGCACCUGCCACUCACAGCUCCUGCUCGGGAUCCACCCCCCGAGGAAGAGAGGCUUGAGGGCCUCCACUUAGUGGGGGAGGAUUUCCUCCGUCCACUCAGCCCCCAGGAUUUUGUGCGCCCACUGAACGCCAGGCGCCGUUAGAGGUGCUUGAGAUACGUCGGUGCAAGAGGUGCUUGAGAUACGUCGGUGAACCAAAGAUCCCCAGAGAGUACGUUCCAGCAGUGGGGAGACAGAGUGAACAACACAAUAAAUAAAUAUGUUAUGGA